GGCGUUCUUUUAAUUGUUAUUAUGAAAAUGUUCUUUUCCAUGAAGCACACAUAACACAUACCGAAUUACCGAUCAAUCUGUCUCCACUUGACAAGAAAUAUUCUCUUUUCCAAACAGGUUACAGGUCCACAUCAUUAAGGUAUGACAUAGUUGCAGAAACACCACUGCACAUAUGUGAAAACUGAAAGUUAGGGCUCAAGGGGCGACUGUGUUUUGCUAGUCAACGGCUAAGUUGAUGUGUGAGAUCCAACUCAGCUCACGGAUCUGGCCAGGCAAGACUUGCUUUCCAAUGUCCCAAACUCUGUUCAUGCCUAGCUGAUAUCCCCAUCUGUUCCCAUGAGGUUGCACAAUUCCUUCCAGCAUUAGCAUCACCAAUCACUAGCCUGCUACCACAGACAAACAAGCUGGAGUAUCUAGGAGAGACAGGCAGGGGAGAAGCAAUUGCAGACCAUGCAGUGAGCUUGGCCAAGUCGGUGGAGGGGGCUGUGACCAAGGCACUGGCGGCAAUUGAGGAGGAGGCAACCCUGAGGAAGAGCACGCAGAAUGACCUGGCAUUCAUCACUGGUGAGUUCCAGAUGAUGCAAUCCUUUCUCAAUGUCGCAGACGAGGAACGCGCCAGGAACAACGUGGUGAGGACCUGGGUGAGACAGGUCCGUGACCUCGCCUACAACGUGGAGGACUGCAUCGAGUAUGUGAUCCACCUGGACAAGGCAUCAGACUGACGCUGCCGCUGCCUCCCAGGCUUCAUCAGGCCCGAGCUGCCGCUGGACAAGGCGAUUGCUGAGAUAAAGCUGCUCAAGAUCAGGGUUGAGGAGGUGAGCCUUCGGAACAUGCGCUACAACCUCAUCAGUGAUUCAGGUUCCAAGCCCAUCAUGCAGCAACAGUUGGUGCCUGGUGCUUCUGUUGGUGCCACAACAUUUGACAUGCUCAUCAAAGCAAGAGAUACCACAAAGAUGCAACGAGGAUUAGGAGAUCUAACUAAGCUGUUGAUCACCAAGAAACCCAGUGGCAACCUUGGACUCGGGGUGAUCUCGUUGUGGGCGGCAGAUGGUAAUGCUAAUACCACACCCGUCAUCAGGGAGGCCUAUGGCGAACCAGAAGUAUUUGAAAGCUCCGGACAUCGUGGCUGGGCAAAGCUGAUGCAUCCUUUCAAUCCCCACGAGUUCCAGUUCCAGCGGAGUUUGCUGAUUCAGUUCCACACAAACUCUUGCCUACACAACAAACUGGGCGUAGACGUAGGUACACUCAAGAGAUUGGGAGUGGCUGCAGAAGGCGAACUUAUUGAAGAGUUCAUGGAUCAAAUGAAGAAGUGAUACCUGGUUGUCCUGGAAAAUGUUUCCAGUAUGGUAGAGUGGGACACUGUCAGAGCAUACCUGCCUGAAGCGAAAAACGACAGUUGGGUCAUCAUCUCCUCGCAGCAAUCUGAAGUCGCCGGGCUGUGCGUUGGAGAUCCAUGGCAAGUGUUUGAACUUAAGCAGUCCUCAGCUGAACACUCUGUAUGUGUCUUCUUCAGGGAGGUAAGCAGCUGAAACACGAUGGAAUAACUUUCUGGAAAAAAUGGCCUUAAUCUCUUUUGUUCUUCUUUUGGACAUCAGUAGUUUCCUGUAAACAACAUUGAUUUACAUAUUCUAAUCAUAUGCUAGAAAAAAUUAAUUUAAAACUAUUGAUAGAUAUAGAAGUACUUUGAUUAAAAAUGUACAGUAGCAGUUCUACUUAUGUUGCUCAUCACCAGUGAAAUUGAAACUGUGAAAACCUUGGGGCUGGCUGUGCAAAAGUGCAGACAAUGGUAGCCACUGGUAUAUUUAUCAUUAACAAAAGCACCCCCCCCCCCCUCUACACAGACGCAUGCACACGCACACACAAUGAGACUGAUUCCCCAUAGGGAAUAACAGAGAUAUGUUUAGGAGAAAGUAGUGGAAUAAACUCUUAUAUUUGUUCAGUGAAAUCAGCAAAUCCCAACUCAUAAUGUAACAGUUGACACAGGAUUCAGAAACUGUGCCAUCCCUCAAAUGUUUGUUGCAUGUUGCAUUAAUUCCUCAUCCGAAGGUGCACAUGUACCCCUCCCCUUAAAUUUUCUGUAUUUUCAGGGUUCUCAAGGCGACAUAGAUAAAAGCAAGCAAACCACUAUGGUGAUGGCUAAAAAAUAAUGAGGCGUCAUCAUCAAUGGGUGUCCAAAACAAUGCUGAUAUGUUGAUUGGUCGAUACCCCCUAGUUGAAGUACACAAUUCACAGAUGAAAGAUCUUCGUGGCUAUUUAGCCAGAGCAUGUGUUAAUGGUUUUCCUGUGAUAUCUGUGUGGGGGAUAGCUGGUGUUGGGAAAUCAGCUCUAGUCAGGAACUUAUACUAUGACAGAAUGAAUGACAGUGCCACCAGAAUAUUUACCAUGUACAGUUGGGUGGAUGUAUCACAUCCAUUCAAUUUAAGGAACUUGGCUUGGAGCUUACUUUCAGAACUUCAGUCAGAUUCUCAUCAGCAAAAUGGAAUCAGCAAUCCCAUUCAAGAUUGUCAUGAGCUUCUGGAGAAGCAUAGCUGCCUUUUCAUUAUAGAUAGUUUGCAAUCCACAGAAGAGUGGGACCUAAUACGUCAUUCCUUGGUAUCUACGCAUUCUAGAAGCAUCAUCGUUGUGCUUACAACUGAAGCAAGCAUAGCCAUACAUUGUGCAAAUCGAGAAGAGGCAAUGUAUAAUGUCAAAAGUCUAGAAGAUGACGAAGCAUGUGAUCUCUUCAAAAAGGAGGUGUGUUUUCAUACAAGAUACUUGCCUAUUCUCUUGGUUUAUACAUCUUGAUGCUCAAAUUCAAUAGUUAGUCUAUGAUUUCUCACCCCCAGCCCCCCCCCCCCCCCCCCCCUUGCCUCCCUCCACCGGGAGAAUGUUUUGCAAAACAUGAAAAAUGAUGUGAACAUUUUCUUUUGCACCAAUGUAGUUUUAUCCAAGUUUUUUUUCCCUGUUGUUAUGGUUAUCCGGACUUCUUAUAAAAGACGCAGAAUGAUCUUAUCCAAGUCUUCAGAAAAUGUACUUUAGUAUGCUUAACAAAACUCCAUAUCCAUAUGGUAUGAUAAAAGUUCAGAACAAUUCUAGGACCAUGAAUAAAAAAAUUCUCUAUUAAAGAAUUAUAUAUUCAGUAGUAUUGAUUUUAUAAACAAAUAGACAAAUUACAAUCAUACUAUCAAUAUAGAUAUGUCACAAUAUUUCAACAAAACUAUAUUUUUUUCUAAAUAAAAACUGACAGAUUAUAACAGACAACAAGCUGCGAUCCACAAUUUGAAGGAUGAAACAAACAGGGCCUUGCACAUGUAAUUUUUCCAAUUUUUCAAUGAGUUUAUGCAUGCUAACAGCACAAACUAAAACCAAAUCUAAAGUGUGAUUAGUUGAUACAAUAAUUAUUACUUUUCUUUUCUCAAACAAUGUUGGAGAGCUGCAUGUCAUUUCAUUAAGAAGGAAAAUAUAAUAAUUAUUACUAAUAUAACUUCUUUUCAAUAAUAUAGGUAGGGAAAUUUCCAGAUUCAUCUGCUUUAAGGGAUUCUGAAGAUCCCAAGCUACGAAAACUUAUUUCCAAGUGUGGCGGACUUCCCAAAGUAAAAGUUGCUGUAGCUGACUUUUUGGCACCCAUGACAGUCAGCUGGAUGAAAACUGCAAUGAAUCUUAGUGACAGAUUUAUGCAUGAUCUAGAGACCAAACCAGAAUUUGACAACCUGCGUGGACUGUGGAUGCAUUCCUACUUCCGUACUUGCCCAGAUUAUCUUAAGCCCAUGUAUCCUCUACCUAUCCAUUUUCCCGCAAGGCCAAAGCAUUCAACGAAGGCGUCUAGUGAGGCGGUGGAUCGCAGAGGGUUGCUCGAGGGACACAUCCAACAGGUCAGCUGAGGAUAAUGGGGAAAAAUUCUUCUUGAUGCUCCUUGAUCUGAGUAUCAUCCAGCAGACACCACAUUCAGUCACAACUGCAGAUACAAGAAUGGUCUUGUGCCAAGUUAACGGCUUCUUCCGUGAGUACAUCAUAUCAAGGCGAAAGGAUGAGGACAGGUGCACAUUGACCAGUCAACGCACAGGACAGCACCUUGUCAUAAAGGAAAACUGGGACAGAGACAAGAUUGUGUUCAGUAGUAUUGACUUUUCAAGGCUACGCUCCCUCGCUGUGUUUGGACAGUGGAAGCCUUUCUUCAUCAGUGAAACUAUGAGGGUGCUCCGGGUGCUUGAUCUCGAGAAUUCAACAGGUGUGACAUAUAAAUACCUGGAGCAGAUGAUGAAGCUGCUUCCUCGCCUCAAGUUCCUCUCUCUGAGAGGAAUAAGAGAGAUCUACUAUCUGCCAGGCUCAUUUGCUGGUCUGAGGCAGCUUGAAACUCUGGAUGUCAGGGGCACCUCCAUAGUCACUUUGCCACCAUCCAUCACCAAGCUUACCAAGCUGCAGUACAUCCGUGCUGGCACAGCUAAGGAACCAUCAGUACCAUAUGCUCAUUUCUCUUGGUUGCCUAGCUGCUGUAGAUCUUGUCAUGUAGGUGUUAUUAAGGUGCCUGCAGAGAUUGAUAAACUUACAGCCUUGCACACUCUUGGUGCUGUCAACAUUGGUUUUUCAGGGGGAGAGGCCAUCCUGAAAGAGCUCAAGAAGCUCACUCAAUUGCACAAGCUCGAAGUGACCGGCAUCAACAAGAAAAACAGCAAAGAGUUCUGUUCCACCAUCUCAGACCACGUUCAUUUGGAAUCCUUAUCAGUUUGGCUCUGCAUGGGCAAUAACAAACCAUGUUUGAAUGACAUGUUCUGGCCUCCGCAGAAACAUCUGGAAAAACUUCAGAGCCUUAAACUAUAUGGUCUUGCAAAAGUGGUGCCACCAUGGAUCAAAGAUCUUGCUAAACUCACAAAGUUACAUGUGAAUAUGGCCAUAUAAAAAAUGUUAACAUAAGUGAAGUUCUUGGGGAAAUAAAAGGACUAUGUAUUCUGCGUCUUGAUAUCAGGCCACUUGAAAAUGGUGAUGGUGACCUUAACUUCUGUGUCAAGGUGAAUGGAGUAGAGCAGCAGUUAUUUGAACGUCAGGAUACUUGAGAUUGCUUGUAACUCUGAGUUAAAUGUAUCCUUUGGAUCAUUAGCAAUGGAAAAUCUGCUGACAGCUAAAUGCUGUGGGUCGGCAGUGAAGUUUGCUGAGCUAAAGAGUCUCUCUAAAGGAAAACUCCAGGAGGUGCGGUAUUUGGGUUCCUUUAACAAAACAGAUAAGGUGGACGUGGAGAAUCAACUUAGCCAGCAUCCUAAGACACCUGCUUUGAAACUGGAGGAACCAUGUUUGUCCUGAUGCAUACUGACAAUCGGUCUGCUGCUUGCUGAUUCUGGCACCAGAGCAGGACCAGGACUAAAUGACUGGUGUUUUUCAUUUAAACCUUCCCGAUUCAUUUACCUACACUCUAGGCAUUUGAACUAAAACAUCUGCGUCCAUGGCAGUGUAAAGAUAAUUGUUGCUUCUCGAUGUCAAAAUCUACUUGGAGAAAACUAAGGGGUGAACAUAUAUAGCAAAAAUGCUGAAUUGACUCGAGUGUGUUUACUCUGUACUGCAAAAGUUUUAUGCAUCUGUGGUAUAUAAUGGACGUGUGCAUUGACACUGUAAUUCAAUUAUCUUAUUUUAAUUUCAUGCUUGCUGUCCCCUGAUUCCUUGCGUGAUAUUCUGUAGAUGUCGUCUCUCAUAGUUUCUUAUUACUGGUUCAUGUUAAUUCCAGGUCUCAUGGAGUUGAUAUGUCGAUGUGCCUAAAGUUUUGACCAAUUGUAGGAACCGAUCUUUCUCCAUUAGAGUACACGAUCUCUUGUGCUAGGUGCUAUGCACAUCUGAUUUGUGCUAGUCCAUCAAAACGUGCUCCUGCACAGGCAAGUAAUCCUAAGCGACAAGGAUAAAUGUGAUACCCAUAGCUAACCAGAAUUGCAUAUCUUUUUUUUACAUUUGUUCUUAUUUUAAUACUUUCUCAUCUUUGUCUGGUUGUAAUAGAGUUUAGCACCAACUAAAUAUAUGCUUUCCUAUGCCCAUUCAUAGUUUUUCACUUUUCUAUCACACAUCGAUGCGUGUGUGACAUAUGUUUAGUUCAGACUUACGUUACAUCCAUUGCUUCAUACAUACAAGUAUACAUGGUGUAACAAAGAUCAUAAAUCUAUGUGUUGAGUUGGGCCUUGUUUAGAUGCGAAAACUUUUUGGAUUUCACUACUGUAGCACUUUUGUUUGUUUGUUUGUGACAAAUAUUGUCCAAUCAUAGACUAACUAGGGUUAAAAGAUUCGUCUCGCGAUUUACAGUCAAACUGUGUAAUUAGUUUUUGUUUUUGUCUAUAUUUAAUACUUUAUGCAUGUGUUGCAAGAUUCGAUGUGACGGAGAAUCUUGAAAACAUUUUGGUUUUUGGGGUGAACUAAACAAGGCCUUAGUUUUUUCCCCCUAUAUUAAUAAUGGCUGAAGAUGGCAAGUAGGAAAAACAAUUACUUGGGGACAUUAUCUUUAAAAUGACGAGGCAGGCAUUUAGAUCCAUAUGUCUUCCUUUAUUUAAUUUAUUUUUACUAAUGGUGGAAGCCAGUGACUUGUAUGAGAAUUUAGAAGACUACUAUAGAUUAUUUUUCAUAAUUUUAUAAUGUUAGGAACAUUAGGGGCACCAUAUAUUGACCAAUGCCCAUGACAAAAAUCUGAAUUUUAAAGUGCACCAUAUAUGAAAUCAUAUGUGGCACAGAGGCUGUUUGGACCUAGAAGUCUUGGGUUUCUUUAGUAAACUUUAAUUUUCCAAGGACAAGGCUAUCUAAAAAUUCCCAUCUCACUGGCCCAGUAAACUGCAAGCAAUGUUUCUCAGAGAAGCAACACGCAAGGUUACAAGUUAAGCAUCAACAAGUAAACUAGAUCUAGAAUAAAUAACAGACCCUCUUGUCUACGAAGCACGAAACAGAGGAACAACUUCCAAUCCGCAAAUCCCAUCUCCUGUACCCUCCCCUGCUUGCUUUGUAAAAGGGAAAAAAAGAGCAAGAAUUUAGUAUACCUUGGGCCAGAAGGACGUACUGGGGCAACAGGAAGAUGCGAUGCGACGCGACGUGCAGGUGUGGACGCCCUUCCGCCUCUUGAAGCUCAAUCUGCUAGUCUGCUACCGGAUUCCGUGGACAGGGGCUGCAGUGUCAUGGCUUAGUUGUGCUCGGCGGCUGUGGGGAUUCCGUGGAGUAGCGAGAGCGGAAUCUGGGGAGGGUGUUGAGCACCGUUGGCGGACGCUGGGACUGGGAAUUGGGGAACGCCGGCCGGCGGCGGGGCCCUGUAUUGCCUGGCCUGCGCAGCAACUCCAGCAACGCUGAAAGCGCACGAGCUAACCAAUUUCUCAAAGCAAACAACAGCCCGUUGAGGCUCGUGGUGAUGGUACUCGAGUUUAACUCUAGACAACUAUGAGGAAGAUGGUUUUUCAUGUAUGCCAUUAACCAAGAUGGUCCCUUACUCCAUACCAUUAAAAAGUUAGAACCGGCCAAAUGAAAGGCAGACGGAAUGGUGUGCGAAGAUAAAUGUCAUGACACAGAGAUCCGCUCCAACUUUUUAAUGAUAUGAAGGAAGAGACCAUCUUUCUUAAUGGCAUAUAGGGAAAACAAAUGUUUCCUUCGUAGCUACAAUUGGGUACACAUGUUGUUUAUAUCGGCAUUUAUCUUUUUUUUUUUGCUGUCGAAUUUUACACAUAUCAGUUUAUUAUCACAACCGAACCUUUAAUUUAAAAAGUCAUAUCAGUUGUUGUAUGCUAUUGAAAGAUCAUAGUAUUGGGAUACUUAUUUGUUACUAUAUAAGCAACCUUUUAUAUAAAUUUUGAUCAAAUUUAAGAUAUUUUGACUUAAGGCCUUGUUUAGUUUCCAAAUCUUUUUGGGUUAGGGUAUUGUACCCCUUUUGCUUUUAUUUGACAAACAUUAUCCAAUCAUGGAGUAACUAGGCUCAAAAUAUUCAUCUCGCGAUUUACAGGUAAAUUGUGCAAUUAGUUUUUAUUUUUAUUUAUAUUUAAUGCUCCAUGCAUGUGCCGCAAGAUUCGAUGUGACGAGGAAUCUUGAAAACUUUUUGAUUUUGGGGUGAACUAAACAAGGCCAGUACUAUAUUUGUUCUUUUCCAGAUGAAGGGAAUAUAAAAAUAUUGAGUGCUGGUCUAUAAGUAUAGCUUAAAUUUUGGACUCUUAAUUUGAAGAAAUAUAUUUUAUAUGUUAUUUUCAUUUUGGAAGAUAGGAAAAACAUGUAAAAUAUUUUAUCGGAUCUAAAAAAUAAAUAUGCAUAUGAAUGAAUCUACAUGGUGGGUGUAAAAAAAAGUAAUGGAACAAUGUUCUAGCUUCUACUCAAUCAUCCCAAAUUAUAAAAUGUUUGACUUUUUUAACAUUAAAUUGGACCACUCGUUUUAUUCUCAAAUUUGUGCAAAAUAUCACAUCUUUUGUCGUGGCUUGGUCUAUUAAUAAAAAUUCUUCAAGAAUAACUUAAAUUGACUAUAUAAUGUGGUGCACCAUACAUAUGUAACAUUUUAUUUUUUAUUUUCCAAAAAACAAACCUUUACUGAUGACACGUUAAGGAGCGAACGGAUAAUUCUUACAUGCUGAAUAUAUUAUCUUGUUAAAUCUUGUCAUUUAGAAAAAAAAUCAAUAGCUCAGAUUCGCUUGACCUCUUAUGCCAUUUUUCUAUCUUAUAAUAGGAAAAAAGGGUGAUGCGGUUAGUUCUAAAGUUUAUAAAACGAAAUUACCGUGCAAGUUGCAACGGUGUGAGCCCCUAAUUAUGUACGUUGCUUCAUGUUUUUUGAUGGGAGCAGGAAAGUGUGGAGAAAGCGCCGGGAUUCCUGCACUGCAAACGCUAAUUUCCUGCACUGGCCACUGAUCGACGAAAAGAAUUUCUCUGUGGCUGCUAGUGCCGUUCCCACGGAUGCGGAUCAGUGGAACGCUGAUGAGGAUUGAGGACUUAAUAACCGAAUCCAUUUUCCUGGUGAUUAAUUAAUCGAAACCUGACGAUUAAAUUAAUGGAACUCACUGACACUCGCUUCGUUUUUUUUUUCUCGAACAACACUCGCUUCGUGACGCCUGCCUUUUUUUUCGAUCUGGAAACAAAAUAAUUAUGCACGCUUUCCGUGUUCGUUCUGGACAGUUUCGGACGAUGACUGUAUUUCGAACCAUGGUCAUUCAUGCUAACAUGGCCAUCGGAAUAAAUUGUGCUUAAAUGUCAAAAUAUAGGUGAUAGGACAGUGUUGAAGCCGAGCCAAAGAGGAAUGAAGUGGGCUUCUCAGAGUCAAAGUAGAGCUUUCACGAGCUUUAAUUUUGUUGCUCAAGACAAGAUAAAGUCGUGCAAAUAAAUGGUUCACAUUCCACAUGAUUGAGUACUCCCUCCAUACCAGGAUUAGAUGACGUUUAGGACAUGAUUGUGCUUACCAAUGAGCCAUUAAUUAGGAGCUAAUCUUCCGGUUUUGCCCUUAUUAAAUAGGGCCGAAGGUGUUCUCUAGACACGAGAGGUUCUCUUGGGUUGGUUUCAAGGUGCUUGUGGGCAAGGGUAGGCGUUCGAAUCCCAUUGCCUGCGCCUUUUUAGCAUGUAUGGGAGCAGACUUCCGUCUGUUAGCAUGUAUGGGCCUCCGUCCGUUAGCAUGCAUGGGAGACGUCCGGCCGCUAGCUUCCUUACGUUAGCAUGCAUGGCAGCAGGCGUCGGUUAGCAUGCAUGGGAGAAUGCAGGCCGCAGGCCGAAGACUAGGAGACACGCGUCCGUUAGCGUGGGAGACACCCGUCCGUUCACGUUGCGCGGGCGGAAGACCGAAAGACAAGGGCAGUCCAGUCCAUCGGACCCUUCGAAGCCCACGAUGUCAUUUUUUGCGGAAGCACGGAGGAAGUUCACAACGUCAUCUAAUCUAGGUUUGGAGGGAGUAUUUAUCAAGAGGUGAUCGGAGCUUUGGUUUAAUGUGUUGAGACUAACCAUAGCGUGAGGUUUAUGCAUACAUAAUGUCUCUUGUCUUCAUGAUGUGCAUGUGUUGAUCGUGUGAUGGUCAAUGGUAAUAGAGAAGGUUAAGCGAGAAGUCUGUACAUGAUGAACUGACAGCGGUGAAGGGCAGACGUGAAGGCUUAGACCGAGGGGUCGAGGGCAAAAGGAAGGACCGUGGAUGGGUAGCACUUGGAUACGUCGAUAAGCAAGUGUACAAGCGAUGAUGGUAGUGAAAACGGUGUUUAUCAAAGUCAAGAAGGCAAUGAGACCAAGUCAAGGCAGACGUGCUGAUGAUCGGACAAUCGAGGACUGCAACACCCCAGAGUCCAAACGGUUUAGAUCCACUCUAUACACUGAGCAAAAUCACACCUACCAUCAUCCCACUUACUCCUUUGUCGUUGCUUCAUGUAAAAAAAUUGACCCGAAGAUUGUGGAAUGGACUAUACAAGCCUUAUAUAUUGGUUUAACUUACCUUAACAAUCAUGAUGGGACUAAACCCUCCAUAAAAUCUUAUUAAUAUGCACUUGGGCCACUAUGGGAAAAAUUCUUGGUCAGAUGUGACAUACACCCACCUAGGGCACGACAUCCUUGUUGGCCCAACACACCCACAACUAGACAAAUGAUGACCAGAAAUGUUCCCUCUUAGCACACACGACCAUACGCCCAGUUCUACCACACAUGUGUCAUGCCAUGCACGCCACAUGGCCUACACACGCAAUGAGCCCCAUGCCCGCACUCUAGACCCUUGUGCGCCCAUAGCCAUCUGAUACCAUUUAUAACGUCCUAGAGUCCAACUCAGGUUCACUCUUCACACUGAGUGAAACCACACCUACCAUCAUCUUAUUUAUGCUUUCGUUCUUGCUUUGCGUAAAAGGAUUAACCUAGAGAUGGUGGGAUGCACUUUACCCUCAAAGGGCCCGACGUCCUCGUCGGCCUAACACACCCACAACUAGAAAAACAAUGACCAGAAAUGUUCCCUCUUAGCACAUGAAACCAUGCAUCCAAUGCCGACAUAUGUGCCAUGUAGUGCACCCCACAGGGCCUACAGGCACAAUGAGCCCCAUGCCUGCGUCCCUGACCCGCAUGCACCCGUGGCUGCAAAAGUCGUAUCUAAUACUAUUUGUAAUGCCUCAGUGUCCAAAUACCUUAGAUCCACUUUACACGUUGAGUGAACCAUACAUGCCACGAUCCCACUUACGCUUUCGUCCUCAGUUUCCGUAAAAGGAUUAACCCGAGGAUGGGGUGGACUCUAGAAGCAUUGUAUGUUGGUGUAACCCAUCUUUAACAACCAAGUUGAGACUAAACCCUUCACAACAUCUCAUUUACAUGGACAUAGGCCAAUAUGGGGUAAAUUCCAAAGAGGGCCGAAUGCGAUAAAAACAAAUGAGACAAGCGUCAACAUUGUGGAGAAGGCAUAGCAACUAUGCAACUCCAAGUGAGUUUGGUUGUUUGGGCCUCAAAACCUAGAUGAAAGGUUUGUCCAUCGAGGUGCAUCAACUUUGUGAACAGUCAUGACUGUCUGAUGCACGGAAUCCACUUUGGAUCAUUUUGCCCUGUGGCUAAGUAGUUCAAGGAAAAUAUCUAGCAACAGUCUUGAAAUAUGUAAUAUCCCUAUAAAUAAGGACAGUGGUUGCACAAGAUAGCUAUCUCUCCCACCCCAAGUCACUUCCUAGGCUAGCCAAGUGUUUCAUGUUUAGAGGAGAUUAGAAUUAGAGAGAGUGACCACCUCUUACACUAGUUUUUCAUCUGUAGAGGGAGGACAAAGGGAGGAGGCUAGAUCUAAUAUUGUAAAGAAGAUUUUAUGGCUAUCUAAUCAAGUUCAAAAACCGGCCUCAGCUAGUUUCCAAAACUAGCCUGAGACAGUUUUUGCUGUUUUCAGUAAAAUUCUCUCCAAGAAAAAUUUGAAAUAAAUUCAAAUAAGCUCCAAAAUUCUAAAACUUUGGCAGACGCCUUGAAUAACACAUUUAGAUUCUAUCCCCAAGAGGUCAACUAGAAAAUAUCAAAAAUUGAUCAGGAAUUUCAAAAUCCCUCUCUCAAAUUCUGGUUUUGUCAAGUAACCUCCAAAGGAUGAUUUCAAGGUGCUCGUGAGAAAUCAGUUAAAACCAGUGGCUAGACAAGUUACCAAGGAGUCAUAGAACCUAAAGAUUAAUCACGAACAACCCAAAACUUUCAGAUCAAAGAUCUCUACAACUCAGCUAACCAGGAGGUAAAAAAUCACCCAAAAAUGACCAUGAAGAUCACCAAAAAAGGAAAAUUGGAGGGAAAGAGAGAACUCAAGAUUUCAGCCAACUUGCUCCAAUUGGGCUGAUUUUUGGUCAAGAUCUUAUCUAUGGUGUUACAAAGUUCUUCACAAAAUUUUAUGGUCACUGACGGUCAUUUUAUCAGUUUUUGACUUUUGUGAGCUGUGUUUUGAAAAGAACAACUUAGGCCGGUUUUUAUAGUUGGUUUCUUAGUUUGCUUGCUUUGAUCUCUUUUUGCUUCCCAUGAUUAUUCGUUGCCAUCCUGAGCAUCUCUAGUCCAUCUUUUCUUUCUCGAAAAUGUAGGAGAGCUACAUUUUAUUGUAUUAAGAAGAAGAAAGUAGGGCAAGAGCCCUACAACAACUCACACCAUAUCCGUAAAACUUUUUGUCGGCGUAUAGACUCAGGAUCCAGGCUCUGACAACUGAUGAAUCUGCGUGCCCCUUAACCCGAAUGGUGAUGCAAGAAAACAUAGGGGGUUUAUACUGGUUCGGGCCAACGAUGCCCUACGUCUAGUGAGGGUCGGAGCCUGUAUUGCCUUGCACCCGAAAGUGCUUGUAGUAGGGGGGUACAAGCUUGUUGCGAGAGAGGGAUAAGUCCCAAGUCUCGACUUAGGGAGUGCGUGAGGGAAUGUGUUCAGUGCCCUAGGGCGUCUGACUCUAUGUGUGUGUGUGUGUGGCAACUAGAGUGUUCAUGUGCUAGUGUCCCCUAAGGGGUGCCUUGCCUCCCCUUUUAUAGCCAUAAGAGGGCAGGGUUUUUACAUGUGUAAGUCUAGUAAUUUAUCCUCAGUGUGCAGGGGAGCUACAGUGCCAACACUGUGGAGAUCAACCGCCUUGUCCUUGUGAUAUGGGUAGUGGUGUGGUCGUCCCCGUUGGUAGCAUUGCCGAACCCUAUUUGGGUCGUGGCCGUCGGAUCCGAGGCCCUGUUCCCCUUCCUGUAACAGUAAAAUAGUGAUUACUAGGGUAUGGUUACAGUAGCGUGGGUUAACUCCUCCCAUUCCUCCUACUGUCACGCAACACUUAUAGUGACAGAGGUGAGGCGUUACAGUGAUGGGAGUUGGUGAAACAGUGGGCUUCGCGCCCUAUCACGACGUGGGAAGCAUGGCUCACGUCGCAUUAGGGGUACGACCGCCGUGUGUGAGAAGCCUGGCGCCGAGGUAGAGGCUCGGUCGAGGCGUUGAUUGCGCUCGAGGCCAGGGGCUCUGGUGAGGCGUUGAUUGCGCUCGAGGCCAGGGGCUCGGGUGAGGCGUUGAUUGCGCUCGAGGCCAGGGGCUCGGGUAAGGCAUUGAUUGCGCUCGAGGCCAGGGGCUCGGUCGAGGCGUAGGUUGCGCUAUGGGUCCGGGCUUGUCUCGGUUCUUUUUGCCGCUUUUUCCCUUUUGGUUCGGGUAUCUCGGUUUAUGGUACCCAAUAGUAGCCUCGAGCCUAUGGAGGAGUCGGGGUGCUCCUCUAGAGGCUCUUUUAAGGGUAAACUGCUAGGAUGAGGUUCUUAUUUCUUCCAGGGGGUGCGCGCGAGCGCGAGCGCACCCACCGGGUGUAGCCCCCGGGCCCUAGGAGGAAUGAUGUCAUUCUUUCAAGGGCUUUUACUCCCUAUUGCCUUAGGGAGAUUUUGAGGGAUAGGGUACAUGUUCUUUACAUGCAGUGCCUGUUUCCCCGGUGUCGACGAAAGCUAGUCGGCAGUCCACCUUGGGGUUGAGGUUAUCGUCAGAGACGCUCCCGGCCGUUCGCGUGUACCGACACGAGUUGGCCGGCGGGACUUGAAAAAAUCCGCUGGAUCAGCUUGGUCAGGCUGACGCAGGAUUCCGUCUACUAGCUGGGAAGCUUCGAGUAGCUUGGAGUCAGCGCGAUCAAGCGCUUGGAGAAGGUCCGAGCAGUUGAUCUUCUUUCCCUUGUAGAGCGGGAACGGUGGUCGGGCGCUGGGUGCCACCACGCGUGUGGUCGGAGACGGCGUGAUCUCAGAUUGGAUCUGAGUUUCUUUCGAAACCGUGGUCGUGAGGCCGCCGCUGCACGUCGUCCAUGUGAUCUGGCCGACGGUGAACGUGAGGCCUUCAGGCACGGUCGCGGAAGCUGGGAUCGUGACCAUCUUGUUCGCCGGAGAAGUUGCACGCACACCCCCUACCUGGCGCGCCACUGUCGACGAAAGCUAGUCGGCAGUCCACCUUGGGAUAUACCCACGGUAGUAGUUUAUCGGUAGACGGUGCGCAAACUACGAACUCGAUGGUAACGCAAGACACGAGCAAGCUUUUUUUCCAGGUUCGGCCGCCGAGUUGGCGUAAUACCUACGUCCUGCGUCUGGUUGUAUUGAUUUGUGUUGAGAGAAUAUGAUGUCCUAGGGGGGUCCCUUGUCUCUCCUUAUAUAGUCCGGAGAGCAGGGUUACAGAUCUAGAAACUAAUCCUAGUCGGUUACAAUUGCAAUAGACAGUUCAUUAUCAAUUCCUAUUCUAACCGACUAGAAUCCUGCUUGAUCUCCACGUCUUGUUUCCUUGCGCGAAACUCCAAGGUGUCAGAUCAAACCUUGAGCUUGUCUCGUAGUGGGCCAAGCCUCCUGGCCCAAGUCUAGCCGUAAGGGUAUAGGGGUUUAUACCCCCACAGCUAGUCCCCGAGCACCAUGUAUUGUGAUGUAACACGCCGUCUUGAGCUUCUUCGGUCGGUGAAGCUUGACGUCUUUAAUAAGCAGGAAAAUCGCCCAAACAGUUGCAACGGUAUUUUGACCAACUCAAAAGACAGUUGGUCAAUUUUGACAUCGGAGAAGCAGGUUGUGCGAAGAAUGCAUGGUGCUCUAAAUCAAAAAAGAUUUAUUUCCUGGUGAAGUGUGCCCACUUUACUUUUCUGAAAAGUAUAGUCUUUCAAAAAGCAAGCAUAUUCACCGCAAGGUGAAGUGUGCCUACUUAGUCCCCGAGCCUGGUAGCAGGUGACGUAGGCACGUGGUGCCAGGGUCAAAAGAAUAGUUCUCAAAGAAUUUCUGUAACUGAGAUGCAUCGCCAGAUGCAUCGUACCGAUGUAGUCCCCGAGCUUGCUGGAAGGCGAAGUAUGAGCCUUGUAGCAAGGUCUAAAAAAUUAAAUUUACCAGUUCGUCGGCAAUUGAAUAGACUAUUCGACCAGUCCCCGGGUGUACAAUUGUAUGACGACCAGUCCCCAAGCAUCGAGCGCUCAGUGGUCGGUGCGAUAUAUUGAAGUUCGGAGCUGAUAGACUGGGCGACCGGUCCCCGAGCAUCGAGUGCUCGGUGGUCGGUGCAGUCCUUGAAGUUCCGAGUCGAUAAACUAUGCGACCAGUCCCCGAGCAUCAAGUGCUCGGUGGUCGGUGAAGUCCUUGAAGUUCCGAGUUGAUAGACUGGGCGACCAGUCCCCGAGCAUCAAGUGCUCGGUGGUCGGUGCAGUCCCCGGAUUGUUGACUCUCUGCCGUAUUUGUCUUCUUGUUUUUGAAAAAAUCUUUCUAGUUAAAGUUGACGUGACGAGACCUUCUGAUGGUGUGUCAGAUGGAUGCAUGAAAAGUUGCGCCUGGCAACUGUGCAGCCGCCCUUUGCGUGGUUUGUGAAAAGGAAACCAUCAAUUGGUACGAAAACUCCGCCGCAUUAAUUGUCUAUAAUCGUUGGAAACCGAAACGCCGCCAUCCGCCGCAUGGCCCGCCCACUUCCCGAGAAUACAGGAAGUGGGAGGGGUGGAGCUGCGGGUUAUAAGAGCUGGACAGUUCCGCCUGCACUGCUUACCCUGCCAUUGCCAUCAGGCCUUCCUCUUUUCCCUCCUUCAAUCACCUUCAUCUUCGUAACCCAAGUCCCCUCCUCCAAUGGCGAAGAGCGACUCCAAGAAGAGGGCCGAACUGAUGGCCAAGGAGUGGAAGAAGUCCCGCAGCACCACCAAGUCCCUUGGAGACCUCGUCGACAUGGGACUCCUGCACAGCUCGGAGCUCGGCGGCUGGAGAGCACCGGAAGGAGAGAGCUUCCCCGACCCUCGUGCCGGUGAGAUUGUCGUGUUCGAAGAUUUCAUUAAGAGGGGCUUUGGGGUUCCUGUUCAUCCUUUUCUCCAAGGUCUUCUUCUGUAUUAUGAGAUCGGGAUUUGCAAUCUGCACCCGAACUCAAUUCUCCUUAUCUCCACUUUCAUCCAUCUGUGCGAGGCCUAUGUUGGCAUAGAGCCGCACUUCGAUCUUUUUCGUUAUCUUUUCUGCUUGAGGAAGAAGGGAGCAGUUGGAGGCUCCAAGGUUGUAGGUGGAGUAUACCUCAACCUUCGUGAUGGAAUGAAGAAUCGCUACCUGCACUGUCCAUGGAACACUUUCUUGACCGAAUGGUAUAGGAAGUGGUUCUACGUCAGGGAGGAACUGGGCAGCUCCACGUUCUGCGACGUGGGAUACAUUCCCGAGAAGAGGGUGAGCUGGACCGACCGCCCGGAGCAUGAAGCUGAUCGACUGGUCGCGCCUGGACGGGCUUGGCGUGGUCGGCAACUUCAUUUGUCGUCGGGUGAUGCCCUGCCAGAAGAGGGUGCACUCGGCGUACGAGUACGCCGGAAGCGUGGACCCGACCAGGAUGCGACCGGAGAUCUUGGAGAAGGCGGAGGUGCAGCAACUGUUGAACGAGCUGUUCAACUUCGCGGACGGAGGCUUCAUCUGUGGCAGUGAUCGGGUGCAAGCCUUCAAGUUAGGACGACUAGCACCAAAGGUAUGUUGCAGAUUAUUGUGUUUUAGCAUUCGUAUAUCGCCUGCAGCUGAAUCAUCUUUGUUGCUUUUGCAGAUCGGCGAUGUCGACCGGUGCACAGUGUAUGUAUCGCUGGCACCGAGGAUGGAGAAUCCUGCGGGAGAAAACCCGCCAGAAGAGGAUGUUGCUCGGUGUUCUCAUUACACCAGCAGUGAGGAGGAACAAGCCCGCCCCAUCCCGACCACCGAGGAGAGGGUAGCGGGGAAAAGGCCAUUGCCGGCAGAUCCUUUGCCGACACCGACGUUGCCGGCAGAUCCACCGGCGGAGAGCAGCCAAGCACCAAAGCGUCGUCGGCUCGUGCGGAUCGUUGACGACGAUGACGACGGCGAGGAGGCGGCACCGUCACUAGUCCGACGGCCUCGGAGCCAAUCAGAUAGUGCGCCGGUCGCUGCUGAUCGGGUGGCCAGCGACCCUCCUGCUCCGCGAGUCGUCGAGAUGGGGGCGCAUGUGCCGACUGGCCGGGCGAGGAGGAGGUUCACCGCGACCCACCGUCGAUCGGACCUGUAAGUGUUCGACUUACGUAUUUUGGACUCCUCUUUCUUUCUUCUUUUUUUUUUUUAAAAAAAUUGCACUUUUGUUCCUUUAGCGCGGCGUCGGAUGUCGACCCCGGCCAUGCUGCCGGCCAGGGGACGAGUGAGCCGGUUUGCGCUGCUGAAGACGCGGCCGCGCAGACCACAGAGCAGCCUAGGGCUGCAGCCUUCCCUGGGAGCACCGAGGAGCUCCCGGCCGCGGCACCGACUACGACGGACAACCCGACCAGGGGUGAGGAGGCUACAGAGAUGCCGCCCCCAGCUAGCGCCACGGAAGGGGAGGGCAGAGCCCCGACCACUCCUCCCGCCGGGGAGACUGAAGUCCCCACGCCGCCCCGAGCAGGAGCCGCCCCGACUGCAGGCUCCCCAGGUCUGGCCCGGGGGCCAGUAAUGCCUGCGACCACUGCCGGGCGCAACGCAGUGCGGGAGGAGGAAACCCAGGCGGCCUCCGACGACGAGGUGGAGGAGAUUGAGGGUCGUCCCCGUGAUGGCCGCCAACACGUGUAUGUGUGGUGCCAACGCGGGGAUCACUUUAUCGGUCAUGAGGAGCUCGCCGAGACCGAGGAGGCCGCCAGGGUGGAGCGUGCGGCCAAACGCCUCGUCGACGAAGUCAAGGUAAUCGACUCUUUGUACUGCUGUACAUUCUGUGCGUUGUCUUGCUUGGUCGUCAUCUAUUCGUUUUGUAGGGCGCAAUGAAAACGGCGAAGUACCGGAAACGGUGCUUUGACCAGAUAGAAGGCGUCGUGGCCGAGAACAAGGCCCUGUUGGCGGAGGUGGACCGGCUGCGGUCGGAAGUCGGGGAGAAAGUGGCCGAGAUGAACGCUCAGGAGGAGCAUCGUCUCGAGCUCACUCGUCGCUUGGGCGACCAAUACCGGCAGCGAGAAGGUUAGUCACACGCUCCGAGCAGCUUUGUAUAGCUGUGUGGUUUGCUUUGCUGACCGGGUUGUGAUUCACGUAGACAUGGAGGAGGAUGUGGCGCGCCUCCGACAAGAGAAGGAGCGGCUCAGCCAAGAGCUCGCCGGUGCGCUGGAGUCCGGGCGCCGAGCAGGAGAGGAAUUGGGUCGGAAGGACCGGGAGUUAACUGGUAAUGCGCGCCGCCCCGUUAUCUGCUGCUUGUCACCCAUUUGUUUUUUUUGAUAUGUCGAAAAUAACGUUUUGCUUGAUUUGCAGUGCUCAAGGUGAACGCCAAGAAGCACCUGGAUGAGCUGGUCAAGGACCGGGACUCCUGGAAGGUCAACUGUUGCAAGAUCUGGAGAGGAAUAUCCCCGGUCCUGGAUCUGAUCAGUCCCGAGCUUCCGGAGAGCCAGCCCCGCGCGCCGAGGUUGACCCCGGUGGAGAAGGCGCAACGUGCGUGGGACUGGCUCCAGCAAUUCGUGAAGGACGCUGGGGAGUUUGCUGGUGCGCAUGUCCUUAGCAUGGUGCGUGCCCACUACCCUCUGGUCGACUUGUCUAGGCUGGAGAAGGGGUACCCCAAGGAGGUCGGUCCGCAGGAGGCGGACGAGCUUCGGGGUGGUCUGCUAGACUUGUCAUCGACGGCGAUCGGCGACAUCAAUCUGUGCGGAACGGCCACUCCCCCAGACCAGCCGAGCUCAGACAGGUCGGCCAGGGAGCUGUCGGGCGCGUCCAUUGCGGGAGAUGGGCGGUCGACGCCUGCGGUCUCGACCAGCCAGGCGCCGGUGGCCCCGGCCCCUUCGUCCGGGCAGCAGGGCCAGGCGGGUGAUCAGCCCGAGCAGCUAGGCCAAUAGAGUAGUCUGUAGGAAUAGACUAGUGUCUGCCCAUCAGGGUAUUUAUUGUAAACUUUGUAUGUAAAGUUUGUAAUAAAGUUCGCUUUUUGUCAUGACUGUCGUUUUGAGCGCUAUAUAAUUAUCUGGGUGACGUGUCACCGUGUUCAACUUGGUAGUCGCUAAGAGCAUCCAUUGCAGAAGUUUUGCCGAGUUCUGUGUGCAACAAAGUAUAGGCAAAAAAUAGAAAAUCUCAUUAUUGACAAUUAUAAGAUACUUACAAAGGAAAGUUAUUAAAACUUUAUGGAUAGAAUCGUCGCAGUUUGUCUAUGUGCCAAGAGUUAGGCACACGUGUUCCAUCUGGGUAUGCCAAUCUGUAGGACGUAGGUCGUGUGACCUCGGUGACCACGAAGGGUCCUUCCCAGGGAGUGGAUAGCUUGUGCAUUCCCUCCUGGCUUGUUUUCCACCUAAGGACCAGAUCGCCGACCAUGAAGGAACGGUCCUUGACGUUCCUGUUGUGGUAUCGCCUGACUGCCGCGAGAUAUUUUGCUGUUCGGAGACAAGAAUUCAAACGCUUUUCCUCCAUGCAAUUGAUUUCGAGUUCUCUGGCGUUAUCGGCUGUCGCCUGGUCGAAGUGUUCGAUCCUAGGAGAUCCGAAGGUUAUGUCAGAUGGUAAGACUGCCUCGGAGCCGUACACCAUGAAGUAGGGAGACACUCCUGUGUUUCGACUCGUAUGAGUUCGGAGGCCCCAGACCACUGCCGGCAACUCUUUCAUCCAUCGACCAGGUGCUCUGUCGUUCUCGGUGUACAGCCUUUUCUUUAGGGCAUCAAUGAUCAUUCCGUUAGCACGUUCAACUUGGCCAUUGGCACGUGGAUGGGCCACUGACACGUUGUUGACACCGUUUUUGGGCACGUGUCUAGGAUGGCAGGAUAAGGUGGCAGUACGAUGUUUACAAAGUAGGUUGCCGAUGAGGAUGGUUGCCGAUGAGGGAGAAGUUGAACGUGACUAUGUCCACAGGCAGUAAUAUGGUGCCGAUGGCUAGAUAAGAAAGUCUGCCGAUGACUAUGGCAAAGGGUCUGCCGAUGAUGCAAAGAGGGAGUCCGGAAGCUGCCGGUCGUUAUGUGGAGGAGUUUCGGUUUGUCACGAGGGAUAGUUUUGUUAUUUCCUUAAUUAUUUGCAUCGUUUUGUAUACGGAUUCCGUGUAAUUUGGAAUUCGAAUUCUAAUCAUGUCUGGUUGUAGCUCUUUGAGCAGGGUAUAAAUAUAGACCCUAGGGCCUUGUAAUAGAAGAUUAAUCAAUAAAUCAAACACACGUUUUUACUCAUAUUCCAGCAUUUACUUUUCGACGACUUCGUCAUACUUUUUCCUUUUGUUACGAGUUCUUAGGAAUUCGUCGACUUAAGCUCGGCGUGUUCUCAAGUUCCGCGUGAGUACCUCUUAGCCGUGACAUUCGGGCGCAUCACUGUUGUCAGGACUAAAGUAUUCGAGUUAUCACCUUUGCCGAUAGCAAGGUCAAAUCGGCUGGCACGCCUUAACGUUUGAAUCGGGUAUUAGCCCUUUGUGUUUGCAGAUCAGUUUUGCAUCAACACAUCUUUUGGCACGCCCAGUGGGACGGUAUUCAAGAUCAAGAUCAACAUGUCGAUCUCUGACCUCGAUCAAGAGAACGUCAUCCCCGUGACGGAGGCCAACCUCAAGGAUGAGCAGAAGCAAGCUAUUGCACAAGCCAUGGAAGAGUUCAAGCAGCAAUGCCUGAGGUCUUUCAGCAUAAACAGGAGCGGCGAAGUGGUCCAGAAAGAUGCUCUGCCGGCACCACGGCAGGUUACCUUUGACGCCAAUCCUGGCAAGCUUCAAGAUAUGGUUGACAAUGCCAUCAAUCGAGCGUUGAUUAACCAAGCUGGUGUACUGUCUAAUACGGUUUUCAAUGCCGUGGCAAGAAAUUUCAAGGAAGGACAAAUCCCACCAGAUUAUGUGGGCCCCUCCCAUCAUCAGCCAACGGCACCAGAGGUCACGGCUCCAUCGGCUGCCUUGACGACUGCAAGUGCACAAUCUGCCGUCCCUCCAAGUACAUCGGGGACUACUGGUGCACUAUCUAUGCCGAUGACAACCAACCCACAAAUUUCAGUUGGGCAGCAUAAACUGACAACAGAUAUGUUGGCAUCGGCAAUGUCAGGGUUGACUCUUCCUCCCAACUGGUGGGGUUACGGUAUGCCUCCAGAGUUGACACCGGGAACAUCACAAAUAACUGACAUGAGGGGCAAAACUCCUAUGACAUCGGCACCUCCCAAUGCGCCGGUGAACCAGAGUCCUCGGUAUACCACAACUACUACUACAAGGCCUCACACUGGAAAUCCUCAAGAUUCAAUGUUCGAGAUGCCCAACGCAUCGGCAGAGUCAAUGCUGAUGCAACAGAGGUCUAUGGCUCAGUCGGGGUAUGUCAAUUCAACGACGGUAGCCAAUUACCAAUCAUCGGCAGCACCUAUGCUGAUGAACGCUAAUAAUGGAUGGCUUGGACAGCAAGCCUUUCCACAAUCGCCCCAGCAGAGUUACCAGACUACAGGGUUCCAGCAAGGGCAGGUCUAUCCCGGGUUCCAAGGUCAGGGGAUUCCCAACCAGCCAAUGAAUUUUGGACAGCAACUCGGAGGACAGCCAAUCGGUGGACAGCAGUUUGGUGGUCCGCAGAUUGGAGGACAGGUGAUCAAUACAAUGUUCCGUGCAGAUCACGUUUCGAACAGACACGUGGAGGUUCGCCACCAAGUGCCAGAUCCGCAGCCGCCUCAUCGGCAAGAUGCCGAUGCAUAUUGGGCCGAUAAGAUUGCUGAAGUAAUGAGGGAACAAUUUGGGAUAAAACCCAAAGUCAACACUUACUCUUAUCGGACACCGUAUCCUCCCGCGUAUGAUUUGAUCCCGCUUCCACAUCGGUACAAGGUACCGGAUUUUACAAAGUUUUCCAGGCAGGACGACACGUCAACCAUGGAGCAUGUCAACAGGUUCAUCAUUCAAUGUGGAGAGGCUGGUAACAGGGACGAAUUGAGGGUUCGUCUAUUUUCAUCAUCAUUGUCUGGAUCGACCUUUACUUGGUUCAUAUCAUUACCUCCCAACUCAGUAAUUACUUGGGCCGAUCUAGAGAAGCAAUUCCACAAAUACUUCUUCUCGGGGGUUCAUGAGAAGAAGAUCACCGACUUGGUCAAGUUGAGGCAACGUAAUGAUGAGUCGGUUGAGGGUUUUGUGCAGAGGAUACGAGAGGUCAAGAAUAAAUGCUACAGCUUGGUUCUGGAUGAUCGGCAGCUAGCCGAUUUGGCUUUCCAGGGUUUGUUGCCACAUAUCAGGGAUAAGUAUGCCUCUCAGGAGUUCGAAAGUUUAAGUCAUUUGGUGCAGAGGAUUUCUGAUCAAGACAUCAAGCCUUUCGAGCCUAAAAGAGCAUGGAAUAGGAAAGUGUCAUUUGUCGAUGAAGCAACAAGCUCAGAUUCUGAUGAAGAACCAGUAAUCGGCUUGGCAGAGUGGGUAAAAAACAAGAAGCCGAUGUCUUGUCCUUUUGGGCAGAAGGAACCAGAGAAGUUUGCUUUUGACACCGCUAAGGCUGAUAGGAUAUUUGACUUUCUACUUCAGGAAGGUCAGAUCAAACUGUCACCUAACCAUGUGAUCCCAUCGGCAGAAGAGUUGAAGAGGAUGAGAUAUUGCAAGUGGCAUAAUGCAACUUCCCAUGACACCAACGAGUGCAAAGUAUUCAGACAGCAGCUGCAAUCGGCUAUAGAGUCAGGGAGAAUCAAGUUUGACAGUUCCAAAGCCCAGAAGCCGAUGAAGAUAGACCAACAUCCUUUCCCGACAAACAUGUUGGAUGCUAAGGGGAAGGCUAAGGUCUUAACAUCGGAGACAGCUGAGAAGAGUGCAUCGGUAGAUCCUCAGCAUCAAGUUACUACUGCCGAUGCAAGAAGUAAGGGCUUGGUCCAGGAAGGAACUAGCUCAGGAAGGCCUCCUCGAUCUGGUAUCGUCAUAACUCAUAGAAGGCCUCGAGGAAAUUGGCAACAACGGGAAGAUCGGUAUCGGCGCCAGCAGGAGGAUUAUCGACGGGAAGAAGAAAGACGCCGACAGGAGUGGAAUCGGCACAGGGAUCAUUGGAAUUGUCCAUUCUUCAUCCAUUGUUGGGAGGAAAAUAUCAAGCUUCCUACUGUCAGAGACUGCCCUGAGUGCAACGGUUAUGAUCGGUAAGAUAGGAUCGAUCGACAUUAUCAUGAUGAUGAACGGCGAUUUAAUGGGCCGAUCAGAGGAAGGGUGUCAGUUCAUGACCGGCUGGGGGGCAGAUUUAGUGGGCACGACAGACUUAGUGACCGUGUCCAGUAUUUUCCCAGGAACCAAGAAGAGCUCGAGGAAAUGGCUGAUGUGCGGGUUCCCGAUGAAUUCAUAUUUUGCAGGGAUGCUAACACGCAUCGUAUGGAGUCAAGGGAGAACCGACGCCCGACGGCAAGGCAAAGGCCACUUCCUCCAUGGUGCCCCGGAGGAUUAACCAAGACACAGAAAAGGAGGUUGCAACGUGAAAGGCAAGAAGAGCUAAACAAGGGAGAGAACUCUGGAAGUCGGCAGCCGUCAGACACUAAGAGGGAAGGUCCGUCGGCAGGCGUCAACAUGGUCUUCAUGUUGCCGAUGGAGUUUCUUGCACUAGCCAGUGAUGAUGAGUUGGAAUUUUCUGAUCAGAUAGCUCAGUUGGCUCUGGAUCCGAUGACGGCUAUCUUUGAGAAACCUGCCGAUGACGAGAGGCAGCAUCUUAAAGCUCUGUUCCUCAAAGGAAGGGUUGAUGGGCAGCCAAUGACCAAGAUCCUAGUUGAUGGUGGAGCUGCUAUUAAUAUUAUGCCGUAUGCAGUAUAUCGGAAGCUUGGGAAAGGGGAUCAAGAUUUGACCAAGACCGAUAUGAUGCUCAAAGACUUUGAAGGAAACGUGUCUCCAGUCAAGGGGGCGAUAUGUGCAGAGUUGACCAUCGGCAGCAAAACCUUGCCGACAACUUUUUUCGUGAUCAGCGGAAAAGGUGCUUACAACUUAUUAUUGGGAAGAGAUUGGAUUCAUGCCAAUUGUUGUAUCCCAUCUACAAUGCAUCAAUGCUUGGUUCAGUGGGUAGGUGACAAGAUUGAGAUUGUCCCAGGAGAUUCUUCUUAUGUUAUCGCAUCGGCAGAAGCGGAUACUUACGAAAGGACCAGGUGCAUUUCAGGAGAAGUUUGGGAGAAAGAUUUUCUCAAAGUUGCCGAUUAUGAGAUUCCACCGAUCCAAGCAGUCGGUUCUGACGACGGUUUUUAAUGGAUAGAUUCGCCGAUGAUGGAAAAUUAGGCCAGGGAUUCACAUCGGCCGAUGAUUUGGUAGAAGUAGAUAUAGGUAGUGGUGAUAAGCCUAGGCCUACUUUUAUUAGUGCUAAAUUAGAUCCUGAGAGUAAGCAACAAUUGACUAGUUUGUUAAAGGAAUAUAAAGAUUGCUUUGCUUGGGAUUAUACCGAGAUGCCUGGUUUAGACCGAUCAAUUGUUGAACAUCGGUUACCCAUCAAGUCUGGGUUUCGGCCACAUCAGCAACCAGCCCGCCGAUGUAAUCCUAACAUUCUACCUGAUAUUAAGGCCGAAAUCACCAAACUUAUUGAAGCUAAGUUUAUUCGGCAGUGUCGGUAUGCCGAGUGGAUUUCCAAUGUUGUUCCGGUUUACAAGAAGAACGGGAAGCUUCGGGUGUGCAUUGAUUUCAGGAAUCUCAAUAAAGCUACGCCGAUGGAUGGAUACCCAAUGCCUGUCGCUGAUCUACUGGUUGAUGCUGCGGCCGGUCAUCAGGUCAUCAGCUUCAUGGAUGGUAAUGCAGGUUACAAUCAAAUAUUCAUGGCGGAGGAGGAUAUUCCAAAAACCGCAUUCAGGUGUCCUGGUCAUGUUGGGCUAUUUGAAUGGAUAGUCAUGACUUUUGGGUUGAAGAAUGCUGGUGCUACUUAUCAAAGGGCUAUGAAUUUUAUAUUUCAUGAGUUCAUCGGCAAGCUCGUGGAGAUUUAUAUUGAUGAUGUGGUGGUUAAGUCUGGAGAUUUCUCAAAGCAUCUUGCCGAUUUACAAAAAGUGUUAGAGUGCACAAGGAAGCAUGGAUUGAAGAUGAAUCCCAACAAGUGUGCAUUUGGUGUAUCGGCAGGGCAGUUUCUUGGUUUCAUGGUACAUCAGAGGGGUAUUGAAAUUAGUCGAAGAUCUAUUGAUGCCAUCAAUAAAAUAGUGGCCCCUACCAACAAAACCGAGCUCCAAUCCUUGAUCGGCAAGGUAAAUUUUAUCAGAAGAUUUAUAUCGAAUUUGUCUGGUAGGAUUCGUGCUUUCAGUCCUCUUCUUAAAUUGAAAGCCGAUCAAGAGUUUAUUUGGGGAGAAGAAUAGCAGUUGGCUCUGGAUGAAAUCAAGAAGUAUCUAGUAAAUCCUCCAGUUCUAGUUCCACCUCAACAAGGGAAGCCCUUCAGAUUGUAUUUAUCUACCGAUGGAUCGGUUAUCGGUUCAGCUUUAGUUCAAGAAUUUGAAGGGAAAGAAAGGGUAAUUUAUUAUUUGAGUAGGAGGUUGAUUGAUGCUGAAACCAGGUAUUCGGCCAUUGAGAAACUAUGCUUAUGCUUAUAUUUUUCAUGUAUCAAGCUGAGACAUUACCUGUUAUCGGCCGAAUGCACUGUUGUUUGCAAAGAUGACGUGGUCCGAUACAUGCUAUCUAUGCCGAUUAUGAGUGGUAGGAUCGGUAAAUGGAUUUUAGCGCUGUCGGAGUUCGAUUUGCGUUACGAAUCGGCUAAGGCAGUCAAAGGGCAGAUUAUGGCCGACUUUGUGACUCAGCAUUGCGGUCUAGUGGAAACCUUGGAAAUUGUACCCUGGACGCUCUUCUUUGAUGGAUCUACCUGUGACCGGGGGGCAGGAAUCGACAUUGUAUUAGUUUCCCCUAAGGGGAGGAAGUAUGAGUUUUCCUUGCCGAUUGUUGCCACAUCAACAAAUAAUCAGGCUGAGUAUCAGGCUCUGAUCAAGGGAUUGGAGUUGUUAAGAGAGGUUCGUGCUGAUGCUGUUGAAAUAUUCGGGGAUUCUAUGUUGGUUAUAAAUCAAUUGGCCGGAAGCUAUGAAUGCCGAAGUGAAGUUCUCAUAACUUAUUUCGAGAGAAGUAUGCAACUGUUAAAGGAAUUCAAGGAUUUCCGAUUGGAGCAUGUUCCCCGAUUGCAUAAUGAAGACGCUAAUCGGUUAGCUCAGCAUGCCUCGGGAUAUCAGCCCAUGAUUAAUGCGACAUCGGCAGUCGGUGCCGGUGAUUGGAGGAAAGAAAUUAUUGAUUAUCUAAAAGAUCCAUCCAAAAAAGUUGAAAGACGGGUUCGAUUUCAAGCAACCAAGUAUGUGCUCCUUGAAAAUGAAUUGUAUUAUCGAACUAUCGACGGGAUUCUUCUCCGAUGCUUGGGUGAUGAUGAAGCUAGAAGUUUGAUGGGGGAAAUCCAUGAAGGAGUGUGUGGAGCGCAUCAGUCAGCUUUUAAGAUGAAGUGGAUGAUUCGAAGGAAUGGAUAUUUUUGGCCAACCAUACUUGAAGAUUGUUUUAAAUAUUUCAAGGGAUGUCAAGGUUGUCAAAAGUUUGGUAAUAUCCAGAGAGCACCCGCAUCGGCUAUGAAUCCUAUAAUAAAGCCUUGGCCGUUCCGGGGAUGGGCCAUCGAUCUGAUCGGCCAGAUUUAUCCACCAUCUAGCAAAGGGCAUAAGUUCAUUCUAGUUGCCACUGACUAUUUCACUAAGUGGGUUGAAGCUAUUCCUUUGAAGAAAGUCACAUCGGCCAACAUGAUUGAUUUUGUGAAUGAGCAUAUUAUUUACCGAUUUGGGAUUCCCCAAACGAUUACUACCGAUCAGGGCACCAUGUUCACAUCGGGGGAGUUCGAUGAAUUCGCAAUCGGUAUGGGAAUUAAAGUGUUGAAUUCUUCUCCUUGUUAUGCUCAAGCCAGUGGGCAGGCCGAAGCGUCUAACAAAGGAAUUAUCAAGCUUAUUAAACGAAAGAUUGAAGAAAAUCCUAAGCGGUGGCAUACAUUAUUAAAUGAAGCAUUGUGGUCUUAUCGGAUGGCUUGUCAUGGAUCGACCAAAGUAUCACCCUAUCAAUUGGUGUAUGGACAUGAUGCAGUGUUGCCUCGGGAAAUUAAGGCUGGAUCUAGGCGAUUAUCUUUUCAAGAUCAAUUAACUUCCGAUGGUUAUGCCACUUUGAUGACCGAUGAAUUGGACGAUCUAGCAGGGCAUCGGUUAAAAGCUUUAAUGAGUAUAGAAGAAAAUAAGAAGAGAGUUGCUAGAUGGUAUGAUAAGAAAGUGAAGGCUAAAGAGUUUGCCGAUGGGGAUUUGGUAUGGAAAUUAAUUUUACCAAUCGGGACCAAAAGUUCGAAGUUUGGAAAGUGGUCUCCUAAUUGGGAGGGUCCUUAUCGGAUAAGUCGAUCGGCUCCUGGUAAUGCCUACAUUCUAGAAACCCUCGAAGGAAUUGAAUUUCCCAGAGCAUUAAACGGCAAAUAUUUAAAGAAGUACUACCCCAGUAUAUGGGUCGAUGCAUAGAAGUUUAGGUGCCGGUAACACCUAUCGGCUGGAUCCAAAUGCUUGGGGACAAGACUUGGUGUUUCAAAAGUUUAGGUGCCGAUAACAGUCCUAUCGGCUAGACUAAAAGCUGAGGAAGUAGGAAAGCGCAGAUAUAAUGCCGAUGGAAACUCUAUGUGUUAAGCAGCGUCUGGAUUGCCGAUAUAGCGCGUAGCCGAAUUUGGUUGGCUGCUUCUAUCUCCUUGAUGUCAUCAUCGGCAGAACCUUCUAUCGGCUUCAGCUUCUUCUUCAGUUGAAGUGCCUUGCGACCAUGAGCAUUUCGCUCGUGCUCAAGAAGCCUGAUGGUCUCUGGCAAUUGACUCUCUUCCUGUUGGGCUUGGGACAGAGCGUUCUCUACUUCCUUGAGCUCCGCCAACAGGGAUUCUUUUCUUGCCGAUAGAUCGGAUAUCUUCUGCUUCAGCGUGUCUCCAGAAGAUCUCAGGAUACCGAUGUUCUUGUGCUUCUCAUCGGUCAAAAGCUUCUCUUUCCUCAUUUCAUCGGAGAGUUGAGUCUGAGCGGCUCUAUCGGCAAGACGCCGAGAAGCUCUCUGGUACUGCAGCUGGCGACUCUCCAGAUGAGCGGCUUGGAACAGGAUUUCUUCAACAUCGGCUGGGAUUUGGCCUCUGAGAGUUCUGAACAGGGUCUUGGUAGGGUCGGAAUCAUCAACCAAUUGCGCUGUGUCCUGGUGAAGGAGAGCUGACAAUUCUUCCAGCCUGACCCUGAUCUCUGCCGAUGUGAUGCCGACCGUCUGAGAAGAGCUUGCUUCUUCACCUUCUUCUUCAGAGAGAUCGAUGGCGAAGGAGAACAGGCUAUCGGGAGAAUCUUGUUCCUGGGAGGGAAAGCAAAAUUAGCUCAUACUCAGAGAAUCGGCAAAUAGUGCUAACGGUAAACGGUGACUUACUUGCUUCAAAGCGAUCUCUUGUCUUUGACUGAGAAGUGCUGACGGAGCUGCAGGCUGAUCGGCCAAAGAUGCCGAUGGAGCUACAGGUUGAUCGGCUGAGAUUGCCGAUGGAACGAUAUCAACUGAAAGAAGACAAAAGGAGUUAUGAGACUAAAUAAGAAUAAGUUCAUCGGUAGCGAUAUUGUUAAAGUAUGUUACCUGGAGGAGGGACGACGGUUGUCUGAACCAGGAGAACUGCCGAUGGUAUAACUGGACCCACCGGGCCAGUUGUUUGUUCACCCAUGUCAGCUGAUGUAUCUUCUGUUUGAGAUCCUUCCUGUUGGGGUUCUUCUAUCUGUGGUGCUUCUUGCAUAGGUGGGGGAGAUGGUGCUUGCUGUGGCUGGGCUUCUGGAGAAGAAGGAGAAGACUCCACCGGAAUUGGAGAUACCGGAGGAGGAGGGGGAGUUGCUACCUUCUGGCGCUUUGUUCCAGUCUUAGCACCCGUGGUGCCCUUUCUCUUGGGUUGGCUAGACUGGGGGGCAUCGGUACUCUCACACCUGGCUUUCGCCGAUGCGCCGGUUUGCUGCAAUAAUGAACAAGAGUUUAUAAGCAUAAAUAUAGCCGAUAUAAAGAUAGUUAGCAUAAAGGAAAAGAUUUGACAAAUUGCCUUGAAAGCCCGCGCAAGAGUGGGAGCGGCUACCGUUGGUGAUGUCUGGGUUCUUCUGGUGGUGACUUUCCUGAGGCGUACACCCCGAUGCACGAUGGAAGCUAGAGUGGGAGCAUUGUGGCCGAUUGAGGAAAUCGGGCCUGAUGGAAACAAGUCGAUCGGCCUGCCACUCCUGCUAACCAAUGGAGGAAUAUUGUCAACCUGCAAAAAGAAUACAAGGGUAAGCUGCCGAUGGAGGUAAUAUUGAGAAAAUGAAACGUUGGUUUGAGUUACUUACAGUGUCAUCGGGAACUUCGUAUUCGGAGUCAAUCAUGCCACGGUAUGAAAGUGCCGAUCUGCAGAAUAGAUGCUCUUUCCAUUCUGCCCACCAUAACUUGUAUGCCUGAGUGAUAAAAGCAGCCGGAACCCAUUCUGACAGAUCUACAUCUAUAUCGGCGUUUGGUGGUAGUUGGGCUGCUCGAGUCCACUCAAGAAGGUUGUUGAUAGUUUCUCUGGGUUUUAUCACAUCGGCAUAAGGAAGUGCAAUCGGCAACUGGCCGAAAGCUAACUGGCGAGCUAAUGCCGAUGGAUUGUAAAAUUCGUAAGUUUGAGGGGAGGUUUUUGUGCUACCAAAGAAAUUCACUGGAAUGAUUCUGGGAGUCACAAUUGCCAUCAUCGCCUCAUUGUCCCUGUCAAGAGCUUCAUCAAAUGGAUUGAAGGUCAGAGGGAGCAUGCUAUCUGGGUCAUCAUAAGCCAACCAUGGUCGUUCGUCUCUGGUCAAACCCUCAUACAGAGUCUGGAAGAAUCGACCGAUCUGAUCUGGAUUACCCCCUGAGCCAGGCAGAACUAUGACAGCUUCGCCAAAGUUCAAGGGGGCGCGUGUUGCCGAUUCCUCUUCACCCAAUACAUGGUUUUCAGCUAUAUCUCUUGGGAAACGCUGUGUGAACAGGUUGAAGUUGAGACGGUUGUGCAGAUGCAGAUUGAGCCACAUGUUGACAAACCACCAGGGGCCUCCCAAGUUGCCAGUAGAUUGGCCGAGCAGAAGUUUCUGGGCUACUUGAUGGAGAAGGUGGUAAGCAGCGCCAAGCAAGUAUCGGCCGAGAGGGAAUCGGCCACCGUUAGCCAGUCUUUCUGCUGCCGAUAGGUAGACAGAAGUCGGUCCUGCCGAUCGACCACAGAAUACAAACUUGUCCAGCCACAUGUUCAGAAAGGUGGUUUGUUCCUUUAUGGUGACAGAUCCUUUCCCACGGUACUUCUGGAUGUGCCCCGACCAACCGCCGAUAGCGCGAGUCUCCACUUUGGCACUAGGGGCAGUAUCAAAAAAGUGGGUGCUAUCGGCAGAAGAUAUAUCUAGACCAGUAAGCAUGGCUACAUCGACAAGAGUAGGAGAAGCAGGGCCGUGGCCAAAGGCAAAAGCAUUGAGGGUGUCUGACCAAAAGUAGGAUGCAGCUAUCAGCAGUGACUCGUUCCUAUGCAUAUCGGCAAUGGACAAUCUAAUGCAUUGGGCUAGAUUCCUUUCACCCCACUGAACUUCAUUAGAGUUGCUGACCCUCAAGAACCAGUCUUUCCACCCUACAGUUGGGCUGGGCCAAGAGCAGAAGGUGUCCUUCCACAGAUCUAAGGAAAAAUUUUCGGCUCUGAAGGGGAUCCUGUUGGUUUCUGCGUUGAUAAGGUCAGUUGGAUCUGGGUCCCCUAGAGGGCCGAGGCAUUGAAGGUGUGGUUGAUCGGUGGGGAUGAUAAUUUUGUUGGACAAUUCCUAGUGAUUUUGGGCGUAAAAGGAAAUACAAAGAGGAAAGAAAAGGAAGAUGUUCAGUAAAAUGAAUUGCGAGUGAACAGGGAUAUGAAGAAAAAAUACAGAAGACGGGGUGGAGAUUUGACCUCAGGGACGACGAACCCGACGGCCAUCUUGCUGCGAAGGAAGCGUUUGAAGGCGCCGGAGUUGGGGAAGAGGGGUACUUGUCGGAGACCUUGGGAGUUUUUGGUGGCGCCGCCGCUGGAAAAGUAAAGUUGGGUAGUAGAAUGGUGUGAUGGGGAAGGAGUACCCAAGAAGGAACUAUUUAUAGGACAAAAUGGGCAAGGGCAAAUCCGACUUAUCUCUUUGCCGCAUCCGAGAAAUUCGAGGGUACUCAGGUGGAUAUGGUAACUGUUCGCACGGUAAUCCAGGGAUUGUGCAGGUGAUUUGACGGGAAGCGGUCAUUAUCUGAAGAUAUUUUACUGUGCGAGAUCUCCUGGUCGGUCCAUCGGCAAUAUUCUAUAACGGUCAUAUUGCCGAUGGGCGGAUAGAGGGGAAGUAACCGUUUGUGCGAAUAUCCUGGUCAGAACAUCGGCAGAUUUUUGUAACGGUAUUGUUGCCGAUGUACGACUGAGAAGAAUGCCCGUUUAGGAAGUUGGGGAUUUCGAGAAAUCUGCGGAGGAAUAGGAUCAGAGUUGUUCAGAUUGAGGUUGUCGGUUACCAGAUUAGGAGCAUUAAUUGCGGGAAAAGGCAUCAUUACUGCAGAGAAUUUCGGAGCAUUAAUAGUUUUAUACUCCGAAACUGGGGGGCAUGUGUUGACACCGUUUUUGGGCACGUGUCUAGGAUGGCAGGAUAAGGUGGCAGUACGAUGUUUACAAAGUAGGUUGCCGAUGAGGAUGGUUGCCGAUGAGGGAGAAGUUGAACGUGACUAAGUCCACAGGCAGUAAUAUGGUGCCGAUGGCUAGAUAAGAAAGUCUGCCGAUGACUAUGGCAAAGGGACUGCCGAUGAUGCAAAGAGGGAGUCCGGAAGCUGCCGGUCGUUAUGUGGAGGAGUUUCGGUUUGUCACAAGGGAUAGUUUUGUUAUUUCCUUAAUUAUUUGCAUCGUUUUGUAUACGGAUUCCGUGUAAUUUGGAAUUCGAAUUCUAAUCGUGUCUGGUUGUAGCUCUUUGAGCAGGGUAUAAAUAUAGACCCUAGGGCCUUGUAAUAGAAGAUCAAUCAAUAAAUCAAACACACGUUUUUACUCAUAUUCCAGCAUUUACUUUUCGACGACUUCGUCAUACUUUUUCCUUUUGUUACGAGUUCUUAGGAAUUCGUCGACUUAAGCUCGGCGUGUUCUCAAGUUCCGCGUGAGUACCUCUUAGCCGUGACAUCCGGGCGCAUCGCUGUUGUCAGGACUAAAGUAUUCGAGUUAUCACCUUUGCCGAUAGCAAGGUCAAAUCGGCUGGCACGCCUUAACGUUUGAAUCGGGUAUUAGCCCUUUGUGUUUGCAGAUCAGUUUUGCAUCAACACACGUAUUUUAUGACUAUGCCCCUGUCAUCGCAGAAGUCCCAAUAGGUGGUGCCAGUAAACUGGGUGCCUAGGUCAGUGAUUAUGCUGUUCGGGAUGCCGAAUCUGUGUAUGAUUUGAUUGAGGAACUCCACAGCCUUCUCGGAGGUUGCCUUGACCAGAGGCAUGUAUUCGAUCCACUUGGAGAACUUGUCGAUUAACACGAAAACAAACUUGAAAUUGCCUGGGGCUGGCUUAAAUGGCCCGAUCAUGUCAAGCCCCCAGCAAGCGAAGGGCCAAGACGACGGAAUGGUUUGAAUUUCGUGAGCAGGUACGUGGGUCCUCUUGGCGAAAAAUUGACAUCCUUCGCAGUGUCGGACCAGUUUUUCUGCGUCGUUGACCGCGGUUGGCCAAUAAAAACCUGCUCGGAAGGCUUUUCCGACCAACGUUCUGGAUGCAGCGUGAUUGCCGCAGGAUCCAACAUGUAUGUCUUCUAGGAGCUUGAUACCAUCAUCUUGGGGUAUGCAUUUGAGCAGUACUUCGGAGCUUGCGUUUUUUCGCAUGAGUUUUCCGUCGACCAGGAUGUAGUUCUUUGACCGUCGAAUGAGGCGUUCAUUCUCUGUUUUAUCCUGAAGGCCUGUCCCGUCCGAUAUAUACUUGAUGAACGGGGUACGCCAGUCACGCCCACCGGUUGUCGGAGUGGCGUCGUCUAUGAGCAUUGCCUCGGUGGGUUGCUUGUCGACCGGGGGGGAGCCUACGCUUGGCUCGUGGAUGUCCUGGACGAAAAUACCCCGCGGGAUCUAGGCCCGGGAUGACCCUAACUUUGACAACGCAUCUGCUGCUUGAUUCUUAUCCCGGACCACGUGGAUGUACUCUAUGCCGUAAAAGUUGGUUUCCCAUUUGCGAAUUUCUUUGCAGUAGAGAUCCAUCUUCUCGUGGUUUGCGUCCCACUCCUUGUUGAGCUGGUUGAUAACUAAAGCGGAGUCGCCAUAGACAUAGAGGCGCUUGACUCCUAGCUCAACGGCUAGUCUUAUGCCAUGCAGGCAUGCUUCGUAUUCGGCGACAUUGUUUGACGCCGGAAAAAGGAUCCUAAGGACGUAACGCAGUUUGUCCUUGUUGGGUGACACGAACAAUAUCCCAGCGCCGGCACCGUUGAUGUUCAAGGACCCGUCAAAGAACAUUAACCAGUGGUCGGAGACAUCGGGAACGGGAGGCUCGUUGAGAUCUGUCCAUUCAGCAAUGAAAUCGACCAGGGCCUGAGACUUGACAGUGGUGCGACUCUGGAACUC
This 33629-nucleotide long non-coding RNA is filed under the name Sorghum bicolor (sorghum). RNAcentral's name for it is "long non-coding RNA (SBIC_LNC007998)". The record is from RNAcentral. Lineage: Eukaryota; Viridiplantae; Streptophyta; Magnoliopsida; Poales; Poaceae.